This 276-nucleotide ribosomal RNA is filed under the name uncultured bacterium. Its description in RNAcentral is "partial small subunit ribosomal RNA". It matches the Rfam family "Bacterial small subunit ribosomal RNA", at positions 26 to 285 of the family's 1533-position model. The record is from RNAcentral.
AGAAUCAACGCUGGCGGCGUGCCUCAGACAUGCAAGUCGAACGCGAAAGUCCCCUUCGGGGGAUAAGUAGAGUGGCGCACGGGUGAGUAACACGUAGGUAAUCUACCUUCGGGUGGGGAAUAACCCAGGGAAACUUGGGCUAAUACCGCAUAAUGCAGCGGCACCACAUGGUGACAGUUGUUAAAGCGGGGGAUCUUCGGAUCUCGCGCCUGAAGAGGAGCCUGCGGCAGAUUAGCUAGUUGGUAAGGUAAUGGCUUACCAAGGCGACGAUCUGUA